This 2940-nucleotide ribosomal RNA is filed under the name Chloroflexota bacterium. Its description in RNAcentral is "23S ribosomal RNA". It matches the Rfam family "Bacterial large subunit ribosomal RNA". Lineage: Bacteria; Bacillati; Chloroflexota. The record is from RNAcentral.
AGGCAAGACAGAAGGCGCGGUCGGGGAAUGCCUCGGCAGGUCGAGCCGAUGAAGGACGCCGGUCAGCAGCGAUAGGGUCGGGGAGGGGCUGCCACCCACAGAUCCGACCAUUUCCGAAUGGGGCAACCCGCCUAGCGUGAUGGCUGGGCACCGCCAAGCUGGCGGAGGGAACCGCGGAAACUGAAACAUCUCAGUACCGCGAGGAGAUACAACACCGCCCGGAGUAGUGGCGAGCGAAACGGGCUGCUGCCUAAACCAGCGCCGUGCCAAGCAUGGCCGCCUUGCGGCGCUGGGGUUGUGCGACGUGCCGCCCGGGGGCCAUCCCGGGCACUGCGACGUCAGGGUGUGGGGGAAGCGGUUGGAACACCGCCCCACAGCGGGUGAGAGGCCCGUACGCUGCCCUACCACGGUGCAGAGCACUGUUCGCGAGUACCACCGGACACGUGAAAUCCGGUGGGAAGCUGGGCCGCCCACGGUCCAAGGCAAGCUACUCGUCCUGACCGAUAGCGCACAGUACCGUGAGGGAACGGUGAAAAGUACCCCGGCGAGGGGAGUGAAACAGAGCCUGAAACCGACCGCGUCCAUGCAGUGAGAGCGCCGGACGGACGGUUACGUCCGUGGCGUGAUCGCGUGCCUUUUGGAGUAUGACCCGACGAGUUGCUCUGUGUCGCCGCCUAAGGCACGCAAUCAGCCGGAGGCAGAGCGAAAGCGAGUGUGAACAGCGCGUGAGGUGGCAUGGAGCAGACCUGAAACCGUGUGAGCUACCCAUGGCCAGGCUGCAGCGCCCGUAACAGGGCGUGAAGGGCCGCACCGGUGUCUGUUGCAAAAGGCUCGGAUGAGCUGUGGGUAGGGGUGAAAUGCCAAUCGAACACGGAGAUAGCUGGUUCUCCCCGAAAUGCAUUGAGGUGCAGCCGGACGGAAGACGAUCGCGGGGGUAGAGCGCUGUUGCGACGCGGGGGUGUCACAGCCUACCAACUCGCGGCAAACUGCGAAUACCGCGACCGGCGCGUCCGAGUGAGACGGCGGGUGCGAACAUUCGUCGUCAAGAGGGCAACAACCCAGACCCACCGCUAAGGUCCCCCAGUUGGUGUUGCGUGGUAAAGGAAGUCGCGCUGCCCAGACAACCAGGAGGUUGGCUUAGAAGCAGCCAUCCUUGAAAGAGUGCGUAAUAGCUCACUGGUCGAGGAGCACGGCGCCGACAAUGUAACGGGGCGAAACACCACACCGAAGCGUGGGAUUGGCAGCUGUGGCUGCCAGUGGUAGGGGAGCGUCGGCUCCGCAGUGAAGCAUCAGCGUAAGCCGGUGCGGAGCGGGGUCGAGUGCGAAUGUCGGGAUGAGUAACGUGAUGUGGGGUGCGAACCCCCACCGCCGUAUGCCCGAGGGUUCCACUGCACGGACACUCCGCAGUGGGUGAGUCGGGCCUAAGCCGAGGCCGACAGGCGUAGGCGAUGGACAGCCGGUGGAGAUUCCGGCACCAGGUCGUAGUGAUGAAGGCCGGUGGUCCUGGGCGGGAUGCUGCGCGGUCAGACGAGGACCGUUCAAGCUGGUAGGCCGUGAGGCUGAGAGGCGAGUACGAGUGGGCCCCCACGGGGGUACCGCAAGGCGGCAAGACCUGAACAGGCACGAAACACACCGGCGGGAGCUAUGACCUGCCCGUACCGCAAACCGACACAGGUGGGCUGGUCGAGGAGACCAAGGCGGACGAGCGAACCCUGGUUAAGGAACUCGGCAAAAUGAUCCCGUACCUUCGGAAGAAGGGAUGCUCCACGGCGUGUAGCUUCGAGCGAGCGAAGCGCCGCGGAGCCGCAGAGAACAGGCCCAUGCGACUGGUUACCAGAACCCUAGGUCCCUGCGAAGCCGUAAGGCGCCGUAUAGGGGCUGAUGCCUGCCCAGUGCUGGAAGGUUAAGGGGAGGGGUGCAAGCCCUGAACCGAAGCCCCAGUCAACGGCGGCCGUAACUAUAACGGUCCUAAGGUAGCGAAAUUCCUUGUCGGGUAAGUUCCGACCCGCACGAAAGGCAUAACGACAUGGGCACUGUCUCGACCAGGGGCUCGGUGAAAUUGAAGUGCCGGUGAAGAUGCCGGCAACCCACACCAGGACAAAAAGACCCCGUGGAGCUUGACUCUAGCUUGUCACUGUGUAUGUGCUGGCGCUGCGUAGGAUAGGUGGGAGCCACAGAACCGUCCCUUGCGGGGGGCGGGGAGGCAACGGUGAAAUACCACUCUGCGGCAGUGCGUCCACUCACCGGCGCUGUGCAAGCGCUGGGACCGUGGCUGGUGGGGAGUUUGACUGGGGCGGUCGCCUCCUAAAGCGUACCGGAGGCGCCCAACGGUUCCCUCAGGGUGGAUGGCAACCACCCAGGGCGUGCAACGGCACAAGGGAGCUUGACUGCAAGGGAAACCGCCCGCGCAGGUGCGAAAGCAGGGCGUAGUGAUCCUACGGUGGCGAGUGGAAGCGCCGUAGCGUACCGGAUAAAAGCUACCCCGGGGAUAACAGGCUGAUCCGGCCCAAGAGUUCAAAUCGACGGCCGGGUUUGGCACCUCGAUGUCGGCUCGUCGCAUCCUGGGGCUGGAGUCGGUCCCAAGGGUUGGGCUGUUCGCCCAUGAAAGCGGCACGCGAGCUGGGUUCAGAACGUCGUGAGACAGUUCGGUCUCUAUCCGGUGUGGGCGCGUAGGUGAUUGCGUGGGGCUGGCCCUAGUACGAGAGGACCGGGCUGGACGACCCGCUGGUGGAGCAGGUGUGGGGCGACCCGCAGCCUGCGUAGCUACGGUCGGAAGGGCGAAGCGCUGAAAGCAUCUAAGUGCGAACCCCGCCACAAGACGAGUCACCUCACCGCCACGGGCGGGUAAGGGCGCGGGGAGACGACCCGUUUGGCAGACGCGCGGUGGACGCGCCGUGAGGCGUGCAGCCGACGCGGCCUGAUGCCCGAGGGCUUGCCUGG